GCUUUGUACACAGCCCUCUCUCUUUUCAUUCUCCGCCUCCUCUCUCUGUCUCUGUAUUCAGACGGCGUCGUUUUUCCGAUCUGGUAGAGAGAGAGGUUCUCUCUAUUCUCUUGUCUCUCUCAUUCUUCUGUGCCUGCUCUUUCUGGGUUAGACGGAGAGAGCAGACAGCGAAGACAGAGAAAACUGAGUGAGGGAGCCAAUAUCUGAUUCUAAUGGGUUUUGGGUUUUACCUUUGUUAAACUAAUUGCCUCAUCUUUCGGCUGCAAGGGUUAAGAUCUUUUGAUCAAUUUCUUGUAGCUUUGUUCUGGAGGCAUACACUGAUUCCAUACUCUUGGGGGUUUUAUUUAGUCCAGAUUAUCUUGUGGUUCUCUGGCUACCCUCUGCUUGGAACAUUUCAAAUCUCCUUUUCUCUAUGGGACAUGAAAUAAUUUGGAUUUGUGGCUUCUUUUUGAUCAAGCAUUUAAAAUUGGUAAAUCUGAGCUAGAUUGUAUU
RNAcentral lists this long non-coding RNA (492 nucleotides) under Rosa chinensis. RNAcentral's name for it is "sRNA RchiOBHm_Chr7g0238821". The record is from RNAcentral. Lineage: Eukaryota; Viridiplantae; Streptophyta; Magnoliopsida; Rosales; Rosaceae.